AGUAGAGUGGCUGAGGUCAAUAGGUGAUAGAUUGUAAAUCUAUGAAGGGGAAGUGAUGCCCCUCUACUA
Molecule: transfer RNA, 69 nt
Filed under: Cryptotermes cavifrons
Lineage: Eukaryota; Metazoa; Arthropoda; Insecta; Blattodea; Kalotermitidae
Description: tRNA-Tyr
Source: RNAcentral